AUUGAACGCUGGCGGCAGGCUUAACACAUGCAAGUCGAGCGGGGUGAUGGUGCUUGCACUAUCACUUAGCGGCGGACGGGUGAGUAAUGCUUAGGAAUCUGCCUAUUAGUGGGGGACAACAUCUCGAAAGGGAUGCUAAUACCGCAUACGUCCUACGGGAGAAAGCAGGGGAUCACUUGUGACCUUGCGCUAAUAGAUGAGCCUAAGUCGGAUUAGCUAGUUGGUGGGGGUAAAGGCCUACCAAGGCGACGAUCUGUAGCGGGUCUGAGAGGAUGAUCCGCCACACUGGGACUGAGACACGGCCCAGACUCCUACGGGAGGCAGCAGUGGGGAAUAUUGGACAAUGGGGGGAACCCUGAUCCAGCCAUGCCGCGUGUGUGAAGAAGGCUUUAUGGUUGUAAAGCACUUUAAGCGAGGAGGAGGCUCUUUUGGUUAAUACUCUGGGAUAGUGGACGUUACUCGCAGAAUAAGCACCGGCUAACUCUGUGCCAGCCGCCGCCGUAA
RNAcentral lists this ribosomal RNA (504 nucleotides) under uncultured bacterium. RNAcentral describes it as "partial 16S ribosomal RNA". It matches the Rfam family "Bacterial small subunit ribosomal RNA", at positions 30 to 523 of the family's 1533-position model. The record is from RNAcentral.